CACGUAGGGUGCGAGCGUUGUCCGGAAUUAUUGGGCGUAAAGAGCUCGUAGGCGGUGUGUCGCGUCGGCCGUGAAAACCUGCAGCUUAACUGUGGGCUUGCGGUCGAUACGGGCAUCACUGGAGUUCGGCAGGGGAGACUGGAAUUCCUGGUGUAGCGGUGAAAUGCGCAGAUAUCAGGAGGAACACCGGUGGCGAAGGCGGGUCUCUGGGCCGAUACUGACGCUGAGGAGCGAAAGCUAGGGUAGCAAACGGG
Molecule: ribosomal RNA, 254 nt
Filed under: uncultured bacterium
Lineage: Bacteria
Description: partial 16S ribosomal RNA
Rfam family: Bacterial small subunit ribosomal RNA
Source: RNAcentral